This 322-nucleotide ribosomal RNA is filed under the name uncultured eukaryote. Its description in RNAcentral is "partial 18S ribosomal RNA". It matches the Rfam family "Eukaryotic small subunit ribosomal RNA", at positions 1470 to 1796 of the family's 1831-position model. The record is from RNAcentral.
CCCUUAGAUGUUCUGGGCCGCACGCGUGCUACACUGAGUGGAUCAACGGGUCAGGUUGCGCGAAAGUGUUUCCUAAUCUUGAAAUCCGCUCGUGAUGGGGAUUGACGGUUGCAAUUUUCCGUCAUGAACGAGGAAUACCUUGUAAGCGCGGGUCAUCAUCCCGCGCUGAAUACGUCCCUGCCCUUUGUACACACCGCCCGUCGCUCCUACCGAUUGAGUGGUCCGGUGAGGCUUUGGGAUCUGAGCAAAGAGAGCGUUUCGCUCGUUUUGCCCGGAAAACUCAGUCGAACCUUAUCAUUUAGAGGAAGGAGAAGUCGUAACA